GCGGGUAUCGUAUAAUGGCUAUUACAUCAGGUUUCCAACCUGAGAAUACGGGUUCGAUUCCCGUUACCCGCUCCA
This 75-nucleotide transfer RNA is filed under the name Patescibacteria group bacterium. RNAcentral describes it as "tRNA-Gly". It matches the Rfam family "tRNA". From Rfam's summary of the family: Transfer RNA (tRNA) molecules are approximately 80 nucleotides in length. Their secondary structure includes four short double-helical elements and three loops (D, anti-codon, and T loops). Further hydrogen bonds mediate the characteristic L-shaped molecular structure. tRNAs have two regions of fundamental functional importance: the anti-codon, which is responsible for specific mRNA codon recognition, and the 3' end, to which the tRNAs corresponding amino acid is attached (by aminoacyl-tRNA synthetases). tRNAs cope with the degeneracy of the genetic code in two manners: having more than one tRNA (with a specific anti-codon) for a particular amino acid; and 'wobble' base-pairing, i.e. permitting non-standard base-pairing at the 3rd anti-codon position. The record is from RNAcentral.